GACGAACGCUGGCGGCGCGCCUAACACAUGCAAGUCGAACGGAGCUGAGAGAAGCUUGCUUUUCUUAGCUUAGUGGCGAACGGGUGAGUAACGCGUGAGUAACCUGCCCUGGAGUGGGGGACAACAGUUGGAAACGACUGCUAAUACCGCAUAAGCCCACGAUCCGGCAUCGGAUUGAGGGAAAAGGAUUUAUUCGCUUCAGGAUGGACUCGCGUCCAAUUAGCUAGUUGGUGAGGUAACGGCCCACCAAGGCGACGAUUGGUAGCCGGACUGAGAGGUUGAACGGCCACAUUGGGACUGAGACACGGCCCAGACUCCUACGGGAGGCAGCAGUGGGGGAUAUUGCACAAUGGGGGAAACCCUGAUGCAGCGACGCCGCGUGGAGGAAGAAGGUUUUCGGAUUGUAAACUCCUGUCGUUAGGGACGAUAAUGACGGUACCUAACAAGAAAGCACCGGCUAACUACG
RNAcentral lists this ribosomal RNA (466 nucleotides) under uncultured bacterium. RNAcentral describes it as "partial 16S ribosomal RNA". It matches the Rfam family "Bacterial small subunit ribosomal RNA", at positions 28 to 505 of the family's 1533-position model. The record is from RNAcentral.